This 3543-nucleotide long non-coding RNA is filed under the name Fragaria vesca (wild strawberry). Its description in RNAcentral is "long non-coding RNA (FVES_LNC002791)". The record is from RNAcentral. Lineage: Eukaryota; Viridiplantae; Streptophyta; Magnoliopsida; Rosales; Rosaceae.
UUAGUGGAGCGGGAAAAACAACACUGAUGGAUGUUCUUUCAGGAAGAAAAACUGGCGGAAUUAUUGAAGGAGACAUUAGAAUUGGAGGGUACCCAAAAGUCCAAGAAACAUAUGCCAGAAUAUCUGGGUAUUGCGAGCAAAGUGACAUACAUUCUCCACAGCUCACAGUAGAAGAGUCAGUAGCAUACUCAGCUUGGCUACGCUUGCCAUCCGAUAUUGAUAGAAAUACUAGAGCUGUAAGUCCCUAUAAACAUGCAAAGCAUGUAGUAUGAAUGCCAAACAUCAUGCUUCAAAGUUAAGACCUGAACCUGGUGCUAAUCUUUUUAGACUUAAUUACCCAAAUAGAAUGCAUGUAUCAAUGUUUAGACAUAAAACCAGAAAGUUGGCAUAACAGUAGCUUCCAGGAACUGAAUAUGAUGCUGUUUUUAAAAUUCAUACAUUUACUUGUAGGAUUUAUGUUCAUGGAGUCAUAAUAUAUUGUCAAGUACAUAAGACGUCCUAUGAUCAUAGAAGAUUUCAUAAUGUUUCCAUUUGAACUAUCCAUUUCUCAGGAGUUUGUGAAAGAAGUACUUCAAAUGAUAGAGCUUGAUGAAAUUAAGGACGAGUUAGUUGGCAUACCAGGUGGUAGUGGCAUAUCAAUUGAACAGCGUAAACGGCUAACAAUUGCAGUAGAGCUUGUUUCAAAUCCAUCUGUUAUAUUCAUGGACGAACCCACGUCUGGUUUAGAUGCCAGAGCAGCUGCAAUAGUUAUGCGAGCUGUGAAAAAUAUUGUCAGUACAGGAAGGACUGUUGUAUGCACUAUUCAUCAGCCGAGUAUUGACAUAUUUGAAGCAUUCGAUGAGGUAAUUGACCAAUAUAAAAGUUACGAGUCAAUUGUAGUAAUUGAUAGCAAUAUCUGAUGUAGUAUAAAAUGCAUGGCCCUUUUUCUGAAUCUACAAUAUUUAUAUUAUGACAAGAUAUUAAGUGAUUUGAUACAUCAAUUUUUAACUUUGCACAGCUUCUAUUGAUGAAAAGAGGAGGACAAGUGAUAUACUGUGGAGAGCUGGGUGAAGAUUCAAGUAAGCUUAUACAAUACUUUGAGGUGAGUAACAUAACAACACUCCCAAUUUUGAUGAAAACCCUAUUUUUACACGUCAAUUCUAUCGACACUGCUUUUUACAUCCAUUCUGUUGCAGGGUAUUUCUGGGGUUCCAAAAAUCAAAGAUAACUACAACCCAGCAACAUGGAUGUUAGAAGUUACAAGUCCUUCCGCAGAAGCCAAACUUGCCUUAGAUUUUGCUCAGCUCUAUAGAGAAUCACAUCUAUGCCAGUGAGUAUUAGUGUAUUACUGCACUAGCAUAUAUGACCGAGUUCAAAAACACUGUCAAAAUGACAACAUUUGACUUCUAUCUCAAAACACUAGCACUAGUUACACUCCCACAAGGGCACCUUACCCAAACUAGCUAGGACGGCAGUCCACGUAAAAGAAGGCAAAGGCUAUCUUUAUAUAGCAGAAAUAUCCUUCAUAAAUUCUAGCAGUGCUAGAUUUUCUAAAUGACUGCAAUAUCAGGUUUAUGAUAAUAUUACACCACUCAACAGGUUUAUGAUAAUAUUACACCACUCUAGAAUGGGUUCCUAGAAUAGGAGAGGCAGUUUUAACAAAACAUUAUUCUUCAAUAUUAUUCAGUGACUUACCGUAUCAACUCUUACAUUUCUUGUUCAAUACAGAAAAAACAAUGACCUAGUUAGAGAAUUCAGCUUUCCAGCACAAGGCACAAAGGCAUUGGAUUUUCCUACUCGCUUCCCACAAAAUGGAUGGGAGCAAUUUAAAGCAUGUCUCUGGAAGCGACAUCUAUCCUAUUGGAGAAAUCCAAGAUAUAACCUGGGGCGAUUAGCAAUUACUGCUGCAUCUUCUUUGAUAUUCGGAGCACUUUUUUGGCAAAAAGGACUGAGAAUGUAAGGCAAUUUGAUAGUAUACUUUUCUAUAUAAUGCAUACAAAAUCUAGACAUGUAGAAUAAUGUUGGCUUGACUACAUCAAUUAUGUACCAGAUAAUCAUCUAGCACAUCCAAAAAGUCAAGUAUGCUGACUCCCCAAAGAAUAAGCACCCCCUUUCUUGCAUUCGAUUAACUACUGAUUUAGAAUGCAUUCCUACUUAAACAUACCAGAGUCUAGUGUACUUAGCAUCUCAUCAAGUUUUUAUUUUUGCUCUGAAGAAAUGGUGAACAGGAGUUCUUCAGCAUUCUAGGAUCAAUAUUUAUUUUACAACAAUGCAUGGGAAUUGGUAACUCUACCUCUGUUUUACCAUUUGUCGCUUCUGAGCGCAAUGUUGUAUACCGGGAAAGGUUUGCUGGAAUGUACUCCUCAUGGGCAUAUUCUUUAUCACAGGUAUGCAUUCUAAUCGUUUUCCUAGCUAGCUAGACCGCAAUUCAGCACUUUCAAAAUUUAAAGGUUACAUAACUCUUCUACAUGGCGCAGGUGAUCAUUGAACUGCCCUAUAUAUUCCUUCAAGCAGUUUUGUUUUCCACCAUUACUUAUCCAACCAUUGGUUUCCACUGGUCACUUUACAAAGUAUUCUGGUUUGUGUAUGCUAUGUUUUGUACACUGCUCUACUUCACUUACUUCGGUAUAUUGGUUGCUUCUGUGACCCCAACUUUCCAAGUAGCUUCAGUAUUAGCAAGUUUCUGCUACACCAUGUUCAAUCUGUUCUCGGGAUUCCUAAUACCACAACCAGUAAGUAAUCUAUAUCUUUAGUCAUUUACUUCACUUCAUCAACACAAAAUGGAUUUGCAUAAAAUUUUGAAUUUUGAAUUUACUCCCCUCCUGCAGAACAUUCCUAAAUGGUGGGUUUGGGGCUACUGGAUUUGCCCUUUAUCAUGGUCCGUAAAAGGUAUUCUCACUUCACAGUACGGAGAUCUAAACAAGGAAAUAGUACUCCGCGGGGAAGAAAAGCCUAUCAGUGCCUUCUUAGAAAGCAUCUACGGAUACAACUAUGAUGAUCUAGGAAUCAUAGGAAUUGUUCUUCUAGCAUAUCCACUAGUUUUUGCAUUUGCUUUUGCACUUGCUACAGAAAAACUUAACUUCCAGAGGAGGUAACAAUAAUGUCUUUCAAUUACUGAAGCUGAAUACAUGAACUUCUCUACACAGCCAUUGCUGUAAUAUACUUUCUAGCUUAUUAUUCGUAUCAUUGAUAACUAAUUAACUACGAAGUUGUCUCAACUACUCAGUUCUUGCAAUGACUGCCUCACAAAACAUAGUAAAAGUUUGAUCAUGAAUAGUAAAAGUUCAUAAAUUUUCAUUGAUACAAAAUACAUAUGAAGAUCAAGUCUUGGAUCAUGAAAAGCACAGAAUAUACUGAAUUCAAGAAUGAUAUCAGCAACAGGUUAUAAAAUAAAUAGAAAACUAUAUGUAAGUCAGUCAAAAUGAAUUCAAUUACAACUAAGUUGUUUCAUCUAAGUUUUUGCAAUGAUCGCCUCACAAAUCAUACUGGAGAGACAAGUGAAUCAAGAGAAACUGAGAAAGUAAAGUACCUGAAGAGAGAAGAAUCAGAACUCGGAAAACGAGG